GGGGGCUAUGGCCUUGAUGGGGUCCAGUGGACGGGAACAAGACUCCCCGCAGCGCAGGAUAUGACGGCCAACAGUGGCGCGACUCCUCGAGGUGGCCAGUGGCUUUUUUUGUCCAAUAUUUUGUUUAUUAAUCAGUUACUAGGGCGGGUGAGGGGUGACCCGUCCCUGCAAAUUUUAAUUUCAAGAGCUGGUGAUGCCAUCGCCCGCCUGAAACGGCAUUUGCAGGGGCAGCUCGACACACGCUCCUACAAACAGCUACUUUUAGCUAAGAAAAGCACACACCCACCCUGGAAGUUCGUUUUUAACCGCCCUUGAAAAGCAUGUUUUGGUAGUGCAAGCUACAUAAUAAGAGCCUGUUUGUAUCACGUGAAACUCACCAAAAGUUUGCAAAAGCACAACAUUGGAGUGAAUAAACAGAACAAUUUCUACAACAACCUGUUCCAAGCAGAUUUUACUCACUCAAAUGACUUCCUUAUAAGUUCCUCGCCUAUUCCACAGAUCAUUCCCUCAUCCCAUACUUUUGUAACUUUAUUUCCAUUUGCUACUUCAAUUCAGUGACCUGCUUGAC
Molecule: long non-coding RNA, 568 nt
Filed under: Setaria viridis
Lineage: Eukaryota; Viridiplantae; Streptophyta; Magnoliopsida; Poales; Poaceae
Description: long non-coding RNA (SVIR_LNC001562)
Source: RNAcentral